Long non-coding RNA from Strigops habroptila (Kakapo), 219 nucleotides. RefSeq lists it as uncharacterized. The record is from RefSeq and is a predicted model, not a curated record. Lineage: Eukaryota; Metazoa; Chordata; Aves; Psittaciformes; Psittacidae. The transcript has 3 exons.
AUAGUAACUCCACCGCUUCCCCGGGCAGCCUGUUCCAAUGCUUGAAAAUCCUUUUGGUCAAGACGUUUUUCCUGAUACCCAAUCUAAACCGCCCCUGGUGCAACAUGAAGCUCUUUCCUCUUGUCCAAUUGCUUGUUACCUGGCAGAAGAGAUCAACAUCCACCUCACUACAGCCUCAUUUCAGUAGUUGCAGAGAGCAACAAGAUCCAGCUCCCCCCU